GAUGAACGCUGGCGGCGUGCCUAAUACAUGCAAGUCGAGCGAACAGACGAGGAGCUUGCUCCUCUGACGUUAGCGGCGGGCGGGUGAGUAACACGUGGAUAACCUACCUAUAAGACUGGGAUAACUUCGGGAAACCGGAGCUAAUACCGUAUAAUAUAUUGAACCGCAGGGUUCAAUAGUGAAAUACGGUUUUGCGGUCACUUAUAGAUGGAUCCCGGCCGCAUUAGCUAGUUGUUAAGUUAACGGCUUACCAAGGCAACGAUGCGUAGGCGAAGUGAGAGGGUGAUAGGCCACCUUGGAACUGGACCAGCCACAAUGGUCCUGAGAGACGGCGCAGUAGGGAAUGUUAGGCAGUAGGCGAGAGCAUGACGGAGUAGCGCCGAGUCAGUGAUGAAGGCGUCGCGAUCGUAAAAACCUGUUAUUAGGGAAGAACAAAUGUGUAAGUAAAUAUGCACGUAUUGACGGUAACUAAUAAGAAAGCAACGGCUAACUACGUG
This 497-nucleotide ribosomal RNA is filed under the name uncultured bacterium. Its description in RNAcentral is "partial 16S ribosomal RNA". It matches the Rfam family "Bacterial small subunit ribosomal RNA", at positions 28 to 507 of the family's 1533-position model. The record is from RNAcentral.